GAAAGGAGCUUGCUCCUUUGACGUUAGCGGCGGACGGGUGAGUAACACGUGGGCAACCUACCCUAUAGUUUGGGAAACUCCGGGAAACCGGGGCUAAUACCGAAUAAUCUCCUUUACUUCUGGUGAGAGAUGAAAGACGGUUUCGGCUGUCGCUAUAGGUGGGCCCGCGGCGCAUUAGCUAGUUGGUGAGGUAACGGCUCACCAAGGCGACGAUGCGUAGCCGACCUGAGAGGUGUCGGCCACACUGGGACUGAGACACGGCCCAGACUCCUACGGGAGGCAGC
Molecule: ribosomal RNA, 284 nt
Filed under: Lysinibacillus macroides
Lineage: Bacteria; Bacillati; Bacillota; Bacilli; Caryophanales; Bacillaceae
Description: partial 16S ribosomal RNA
Rfam family: Bacterial small subunit ribosomal RNA
Source: RNAcentral